This 460-nucleotide ribosomal RNA is filed under the name uncultured bacterium. Its description in RNAcentral is "partial 16S ribosomal RNA". It matches the Rfam family "Bacterial small subunit ribosomal RNA", at positions 338 to 795 of the family's 1533-position model. The record is from RNAcentral.
CCUACGGGAGGCAGCAGUGAGGAAUAUUGGUCAAUGGACGAGAGUCUGAACCAGCCAAGUAGCGUGAAGGAUGACUGCCCUAUGGGUUGUAAACUUCUUUUAUAUGGGAAUAAAACGUUCCACGUGUGGGAUUUUGUAUGUACCAUAUGAAUAAGGAUCGGCUAACUCCGUGCCAGCAGCCGCGGUAAUACGGAGGAUCCGAGCGUUAUCCGGAUUUAUUGGGUUUAAAGGGAGCGUAGGUGGAUUGUUAAGUCAGUUGUGAAAGUUUGCGGCUCAACCGUAAAAUUGCAGUUGAAACUGGCAGUCUUGAGUACAGUAGAGGUAGGCGGAAUUCGUGGUGUAGCGGUGAAAUGCUUAGAUAUCACGAAGAACUCCGAUUGCGAAGGCAGUUCACUAGACUGCAACUGACACUGAGGCUCGAAAGUGUGGGUAUCAAACAGGAUUAGAUACCCUGGUAGUC